GGCCUGGUAGCUCAGUUGGCUAGAGCGUUGGUUGUCCUACAGUCUUCAAAUUGCUGUCGUGGGUUCGAAUCCUACUGAGGCCG
This 83-nucleotide transfer RNA is filed under the name Schistocephalus solidus. It matches the Rfam family "tRNA". From Rfam's summary of the family: Transfer RNA (tRNA) molecules are approximately 80 nucleotides in length. Their secondary structure includes four short double-helical elements and three loops (D, anti-codon, and T loops). Further hydrogen bonds mediate the characteristic L-shaped molecular structure. tRNAs have two regions of fundamental functional importance: the anti-codon, which is responsible for specific mRNA codon recognition, and the 3' end, to which the tRNAs corresponding amino acid is attached (by aminoacyl-tRNA synthetases). tRNAs cope with the degeneracy of the genetic code in two manners: having more than one tRNA (with a specific anti-codon) for a particular amino acid; and 'wobble' base-pairing, i.e. permitting non-standard base-pairing at the 3rd anti-codon position. Lineage: Eukaryota; Metazoa; Platyhelminthes; Cestoda; Diphyllobothriidea; Diphyllobothriidae. The record is from Rfam by way of RNAcentral.